RNAcentral lists this ribosomal RNA (468 nucleotides) under uncultured bacterium. Its description in RNAcentral is "partial 16S ribosomal RNA". It matches the Rfam family "Bacterial small subunit ribosomal RNA", at positions 28 to 507 of the family's 1533-position model. The record is from RNAcentral.
GAUGAACGCUGACCGAAUGCUUAACACAUGCAAGUCAACUUGAAUUUGGGUUUUUUCACUUAGAUUUGGGUGGCGGACGGGUGAGUAACGCGUAAAGAACUUGCCUCACAGCUAGGGACAACAUUUGGAAACGAAUGCUAAUACCUGAUAUUAUGAUUAUAAGGCAUCUUAGAAUUAUGAAAGCUAUAUGCGCUGUGAGAGAGCUUUGCGUCCCAUUAGCUAGUUGGAGAGGUAACGGCUCACCAAGGCGAUGAUGGGUAGCCGGCCUGAGAGGGUGAACGGCCACAAGGGGACUGAGACACGGCCCUUACUCCUACGGGAGGCAGCAGUGGGGAAUAUUGGACAAUGGACCAAGAGUCUGAUCCAGCAAUUCUGUGUGCACGAUGACGUUUUUCGGAAUGUAAAGUGCUUUCAGUUGGGAAGAAAAAAAUGACGGUACCAACAGAAGAAGUGACGGCUAAAUACGUG